Molecule: long non-coding RNA, 2342 nt
Organism: Clupea harengus (Atlantic herring)
Lineage: Eukaryota; Metazoa; Chordata; Actinopteri; Clupeiformes; Clupeidae
Source: Ensembl
CACACACACACACACACACACACACACACACAGUGUUAGUAACAGAGGCUGUGUCAGUGUGUGUUUAACCACAAGCUUUAAUAUGAGAUUGAUGACACACAAGAAUAACAAGCUGAGACAGCAAACUCAUUAGUUUGCAGAGACAUGCAGCUGACGCCUACAGCGUGCACACACACACACUCUCCCCAUCCAAAGACUCACACUUGCACACACACACUCAUACAGACACACACACACACACUCACACACACACAAAUAUAGUACAUGUUAGUAGGGCCUGUGAACUCAGAGCUUUAGGUGCGGCCUGUGCUUCUCUCUUGUGUCCAUGAUAUUUUAUGUAUGUGUGUGUGUGUGUCUGUUUGUGUGUGUGUGUGUCUGUAUGAGUGUGUGUGUCUGUUUGUGUGUGUGUGUGUGUGUGUCUGUAUGAGUGUGUGUGUUUGUGUCCUCUGUGAGCUAGACUUCAUAUACAUUUGUAAUAGGUGGCUGUUCCAGAUUCGUGUUUGUGCCAUCUUGUCGUGUUGCGCAUGUGUGUUUGUGUGUGUGUGUGUUUGUGCGUGUGUGCCACCUCAUCGUGUUGCGCAUGUGUGUGUUGUGUGUGUGUGUGUGUGUUGCGCAUGUGUGUGUGUGUGUAUGUAUGUGUGUUGUGUGUGUGUGUGUGUGGGGGUACACCCUGAUGAGAUUUUAUUAUUCCUGCUCAAAGCAACUUCAGCUACUCUGCUCUCUAGUCUAGGAGACAAAAAGUAAUAUUAAUUAUAGUAAAGAUAACACAGGAAACACACAAACACACACACACACACACACACACACACACACACACACACACACACACACACACACACACACACACUGCUCUCUAGCCUAGGAGACAUGUAGUAAAGUUAACACAGGAAUCACACACACACUCACACACACACACACACACACACACACACACACACACACACACACACACACACACAGUCAAAUAGCAAUCUACAUGAAUCACAGUGACAUCGUGGCCUAAUCCACCAGCUGGAUGAUACUAACAGUGGGCUGAGACAGAGACUUUGAGCUUUUGGUUUUUGUUAGUGUGUGAGUCUGUGUGUGUGAGUGUGUGUGUGUGUGUGUGUGUGUGUGUCUCAUCCAUCUCAGGGCAGUUCUCAUCAGACACACCUGUGUGAGUGUAUGUGUGUGUGUGUGUGUGUGUUCACAGGUUUGUGCUUUUGUGUGUGCAUGUGUACAUGUCUCUCUGUGUGUUUGUGUGCACAUGCACAUGUCAUACCCUAGCAGCUUGAUGUCAGGGUGUGUGUGUGUGAGUGUGUGUGUGUGUGUGUGUGUGUGUGUGUGUGUUCACAAGUUUGUGCUUUUGUGUGUGCAUGUGUACAUGUCUCUCUGUGUGUUUGUGUGCUGUGCACAUGCACAUAUCAUACCCUAGCAGCUUGAUGUCAGGGUGUGUGUGUGUGUGUGUGUGUGUGUGUGUGUGUGUGUGUGUGUGUGUGUGUGAGUGUGUGUGUGUGUGUGUGUGCAGUGUGAGACUCAUUGUCUCCCUCAGAACUUGUCUCACUCUCGAUGAAUGACUGUUUCAUCUGUGUGCUUUUUGAGUGACAGUACCAUGGCCGGGCCUGUAGAUGGCGCUAGAUGGCCUAGUGGUGAGAGUGAUAGAUGUGCUCUUAUCAUUGAGUGUGUUUCUCUUCUUCUCUCUUCCUCUGAGUGUCUCUAAUGGGUAGGAAGAGGGCACUUUCUUCCUGGAACUCCUGGAUAUAAUGUGUGCGUGUGUGUGUGUGUGUGUGUGUGUGUGUGUGUGUGUGUGUGUGUGGGGUUAUGCUAAAUAAUGUCAAGCUAUGCUUUUAAAAGACAAACCUUGAGACUAGCACUAGUGUUCAUUUUAAACAGUCUAUCUUAACAGUUCAUUUCCAACACUAAUGAUAAAACGUCUAUUUACAUGAAAUGUUUGAUAUGUUUGUGCCAUUUUGAGUGUGAUUAUAGUAAAGUGUGUGUGUAUAUGUGUGUGUGUGGAAUGUGUGUGGACAUGUUUAAGGUCACUUUAAUGGGUCUAUGAAAAAAUGGUGGGUUUGGCCAAAUAUUGCCGCAGAAUCUCUCUCUCUCUCUCUCUUUCACACACAAGCACACACAUGCAAACACUCACUCACUCCUUCUCUCUAUCCCUCUAUCCCCCUCUCUCUCCUCUCUCUCUCUCUCAGGUGUUCUUCUUGGCCAUGCUGGAGUGUUCUCUCUCCCCCUCUCUCUCUCUCUCUCUAUCCCCCUAUCCCUCUCUCUCUCAGGUGUUCCUCUUGGCCAUGCUGGAGUUCUCUCUCUCUCUCCCUCUCUCCCUCCCUCUCCCUCCCUCUCUCUCCCUCUCUCUC